AGACCCGAAACCCGGUGAUCUAGCCAUGGGCAGGUUGAAGGUUGGGUAACACUAACUGGAGGACCGAACCGACUAAUGUUGAAAAAUUAGCGGAUGACCUGUGGCUGGGGGUGAAAGGCCAAUCAAACCGGGAGAUAGCUGGUUCUCCCCGAAAGCUAUUUAGGUAGCGCCUCGUGAAUUCAUCUCCGGGGGUAGAGCACUGUUUCGGCUAGGGGGCCAUCCCGGCUUACCAACCCGAUGCAAACUGCGAAUACCGGAGAAUGUUAUCACGGGAGACACACGGCGGGUGCUAACGUCCGUCGUGAAGAGGGAAACAACCCAGACCGCCAGCUAAGGUCCCAAAGUCAUGGUUAAGUGGGAAACGAUGUGGGAAGGCCCAGACAGCCAGGAUGUUGGCUUAGAAGCAGCCAUCAUUUAAAGAAAGCGUAAUAGCUCACUGGUCGAGUCGGCCUGCGCGGAAGAUGUAACGGGGCUAAACCAUGCACCGAAGCUGCGGCAGCGACGCUUAUGCGUUGUUGGGUAGGGGAGCGUUCUGUAAGCCUGUGAAGGUGGCCUGUGAGGGUUGCUGGAGGUAUCAGAAGUGCGAAUGCUGACAUAAGUAACGAUAAAGCGGGUGAAAAGCCCGCUCGCCGGAAGACCAAGGGUUCCUGUCCAACGUUAAUCGGGGCAGGGUGAGUCGACCCCUAAGGCGAGGCCGAAAGGCGUAGUCGAUGGGAAACGGGUUAAUAUUCCCGUACUUGGUGUUACUGCGAAGGGGGGACGGAGAAGGCUAUGUUGGCCGGGCGACGGUUGUCCCGGUUUAAGCGUGUAGGCUGGUUUUCCAGGCAAAUCCGGAAAAUCAAGGCUGAGGCGUGAUGACGAGGCACUACGGUGCUGAAGCAACAAAUGCCCUGCUUCCAGGAAAAGCCUCUAAGCAUCAGGUAACAUCAAAUCGUACCCCAAACCGACACAGGUGGUCAGGUAGAGAAUACCAAGGCGCUUGAGAGAACUCGGGUGAAGGAACUAGGCAAAAUGGUGCCGUAACUUCGGGAGAAGGCACGCUGACACGUAGGUGAAGUGAUUUACUCAUGGAGCUGAAGUCAGUCGAAGAUACCAGCUGGCUGCAACUGUUUAUUAAAAACACAGCACUGUGCAAACACGAAAGUGGACGUAUACGGUGUGACGCCUGCCCGGUGCCGGAAGGUUAAUUGAUGGGGUCAGCGCAAGCGAAGCUCCUGAUCGAAGCCCCGGUAAACGGCGGCCGUAACUAUAACGGUCCUAAGGUAGCGAAAUUCCUUGUCGGGUAAGUUCCGACCUGCACGAAUGGCGUAAUGAUGGCCAGGCUGUCUCCACCCGAGACUCAGUGAAAUUGAACUCGCUGUGAAGAUGCAGUGUACCCGCGGCAAGACGGAAAGACCCCGUGAACCUUUACUAUAGCUUGACACUGAACAUUGAGCCUUGAUGUGUAGGAUAGGUGGGAGGCUUUGAAGUGUGGACGCCAGUCUGCAUGGAGCCGACCUUGAAAUACCACCCUUUAAUGUUUGAUGUUCUAACGUGGACCCGUUA
This 1545-nucleotide ribosomal RNA is filed under the name Salmonella enterica subsp. enterica serovar Hadar. RNAcentral describes it as "partial 23S ribosomal RNA". It matches the Rfam family "Bacterial large subunit ribosomal RNA", at positions 711 to 2238 of the family's 2925-position model. Lineage: Bacteria; Pseudomonadati; Pseudomonadota; Gammaproteobacteria; Enterobacterales; Enterobacteriaceae. The record is from RNAcentral.